RNAcentral lists this ribosomal RNA (256 nucleotides) under uncultured bacterium. Its description in RNAcentral is "partial 16S ribosomal RNA". It matches the Rfam family "Bacterial small subunit ribosomal RNA", at positions 79 to 334 of the family's 1533-position model. The record is from RNAcentral.
UCUUUUCUUUGCUGGCGACCGGCGCACGGGUGAGUAACACGUAUCCAACCUGCCCUUUACUCGGGGAUAGCCUUUCGAAAGAAAGAUUAAUACCCGAUGGCAUAAUGAUUCCGCAUGGUUUCAUUAUUAAAGGAUUCCGGUAAAGGAUGGGGAUGCGUUCCAUUAGGUUGUUGGUGAGGUAACGGCCCACCAAGCCUUCGAUGGAUAGGGGUUCUGAGAGGAAGGUCCCCCACAUUGGAACCGAGACACGGUCCAA